CAAGCGGUGGAGCAUGUGGUUAAUUCGAAGCAACGCGAAGAACCUUACCUGGUCUUGACAUCCCGGAGACCCUUAGGAAACUAGGGGGUGCUUCCAUCUGGAAGAAUCUGGAGACAGGUGCUGCAUGGCUGUCGUCAGCUCGUGUCGUGAGAUGUUGGGUUAAGUCCCGCAACGAGCGCAACCCUUGCCUUUAGUUGCCAGCAGUUCGGCUGGGCACUCUAAAGGGACUGCCGGUGUUAAACCGGAGGAAGGUGGGGAUGACGUCAAGUCCUCAUGGCCUUUAUGACCAGGGCUACACACGUACUACAAUGGCCGAUACAAAGGGCAGCGACACUGCGAGGUGAAGCCAAUCCCGUAAAAUCGGUCUCAGUCCGGAUUGGAGUCUGCAACUCGACUCCAUGAAGUUGGAAUCGCUAGUAAUCGUGGAUCAGCAUGCCACGGUGAAUACGUUCCCGGGCCUU
Molecule: ribosomal RNA, 461 nt
Filed under: uncultured Desulfobulbus sp.
Lineage: Bacteria; Pseudomonadati; Thermodesulfobacteriota; Desulfobulbia; Desulfobulbales; Desulfobulbaceae
Description: bacterial SSU rRNA
Rfam family: Bacterial small subunit ribosomal RNA
Source: RNAcentral